CUUUUACAUUUCAAAAAUCAAAACUCUAGCCGCCUCCCUGUAAAUCCCGGCUGAGAACCUGGAGAGGCUACGCCGGCGGUGAGGCUUUAUUUUGUCGUCCCCUUUGAGAACUGGGGGAAACCUGGAUUCCCAGAUCCGAGGAGCUGCUGCUGAAGGGAUCUCCGGUUGGCGAUCAGCUGCUGAAGCCGGCGCUGAACUGUGCUGUUAAUACUACUACUGAAGCCGCUGUGUGAACGGAGAGCUGCAGCUGAAGCUGUUGCAGAAGCUAGCAAUCCCAUCCAGUGGGGAAAGACGAAGAAGAACAACACAGAAGCUUCCUGCAACUCAAGCGGUGGAUUCCAACAAUGGACAGUAGGCAGCAAGUUCCGGUCUGAAUGAGGGAACAGUCUCCUCUAGUAUCUCGGUGACACUUGAUGAGGAGGACCUCUAUUUUGAACCCAACUGUUGAACUGUUUGACAGAAUUGACCUCAAUGAAGUGCAGACAGAUGUCGAUGUAGUCGAGCUCCCAAUACACAACCUGGACAAAACGGAGGAUGCUUGGGGGUUUUGCCUCAUAUUUUCCAACACGAUUUCCAGGCAACGAAGCGCUUUUUAAGGUUUGUGAUUCCUCGACGGGAACUUGUUCUUAUUUUGUUCACCCCAGUGGCUGGAUAAAUCUUCAAAGGAGAGGAUAGGAAUGAUGUGCUGAAUGCGGGGCCAUACUUUGUAUCUGGCAAACCCCUGUUGCUGAAGAUCAUGCCAAAAUUUUUUAAAUUUGACGACCAUGAGAUUAAGCAUGUCCCGGUUUGGAUAAAUCCCACGGGAUUAUGUGAGAUGGUAAAUGAUGUUGGAAAUGGGGAUAGUGGGGAAUGUGGCCCAUGUUCUCCACUAAACAUAAUGGAAAAGUCCAUUAUGCCCCUAGUGUAUUUCCUUAUAUAAAGGGGAUCCGUCCAAGGCUCAGUGUGCGUUGGAGACGAGAGUAAGAGGAGAACAUUCAAGGCGGCGGGAUUUGGUUUGUGGAAUUGCGGAGGACUUUCCAAUCUUGUGAUCGCUCUUCCGACAGUGAGUUUUCGCCACUGCAGACUGCGGAUCUGCGGGAGAUCGCUAUGGCACGGACGAUUACCACAUUGACUCAUCGCGAAGUACGACGAAAUCAGCUCAGGGAGGAGAUUCAGGAGAUAGAGUACAACUCUACUUAUGGAGCCGACGGACACAUUGGACGACUUGAUGAUUUGUUUUGGAAACUUGAGCGAGAAGAAUUUCCAGUCCUGGACAGUUAUAGGAUUUGGGCUUUGAUGCAAUCAUUGCCAGA
Molecule: long non-coding RNA, 1292 nt
Organism: Zingiber officinale
Lineage: Eukaryota; Viridiplantae; Streptophyta; Magnoliopsida; Zingiberales; Zingiberaceae
Exons: 3
Source: RefSeq, a predicted model, not a curated record